UACAGAGGUCUCAAGCGUUGUUCGGAUUCAUUGGGCGUAAAGGGUGCGUAGGCGGCGAGGCAAGUCAGGUGUGAAAUCUCGGGGCUCAACUCCGAAACUGCACUUGAUACUGCCUUGCUAGAGUACUGGAGAGGAGAUUGGAAUUUACGGUGUAGCAGUGAAAUGCGUAGAUAUCGUAAGGAAGACCAGUGGCGAAGGCGAAUCUCUGGACAGUUACUGACGCUGAGGCGCGACAGCGUGGGGAGCAAACAGG
Molecule: ribosomal RNA, 253 nt
Filed under: uncultured bacterium
Lineage: Bacteria
Description: partial 16S ribosomal RNA
Rfam family: Bacterial small subunit ribosomal RNA
Source: RNAcentral